GAUGAAGAACGCAGCGAAAUGCGAUAAGUAAUGUGAAUUGCAGAAUUCAGUGAAUCAUCGAAUCUUUGAACGCACAUUGCGCCCGCCAGUAUUCUGGCGGGCAUGCCUGUUCGAGCGUCAUUUCAACCAUCAAGCCCCAGGCUUGUGUUGGGGACCUGCGGCUGCCGCAGGCCCUGAAAACCAGUGGCGGGCUCGCUGUCACACCGGGCGUAGUAGAUUUUAUCUCGCUCAGGGCGUGCUGCGGGUCCCGGCCGUUAAAAGCCUUUUUUUACCCAAGGUUGCCCUCGGAUCAGGUAGGAAGACCCGCUGAACUUAAGCAUAUCAAUAAGCGGAGG
RNAcentral lists this unclassified non-coding RNA (335 nucleotides) under soil metagenome. RNAcentral describes it as "partial contains 5.8S ribosomal RNA, internal transcribed spacer 2, and large subunit ribosomal RNA". The stretch from base 1 to 120 matches the Rfam family "5.8S ribosomal RNA", at positions 35 to 154 of the family's 154-position model. The record is from RNAcentral.